GACUCUAGCCUGGUGCCAUGAAGACAUGAGAGGGGUAGCAGAAGUGGGAGACCCCACCGGAGGGUGGGGCUGGGCCUGCCAGCCUUGAGGCCUCGGUUGAAAUACCACUACUCUUAUGUUUUGUUCAUUGGCCUGGUUGAGGGGUGACCAAACCCAGAGGGGCUCCUGCUACUGGCACCAAGGAAUGGCAGAACUCACCCUGGGGACAGUCGGGUGGGAAGUCUGACCUGUGAACAGUAAAGCAGGUGCCCUGAGGUGAGCUCUAGGAGGACAAAAACCUCCGUGAAGCAGAAGGGCGAAAGUUCACUGGAUACCGAUUCUCAGUGCCAAUACGGACUGGGGAAGGGGGACUCACCAAAAACAAAA
This 366-nucleotide non-coding RNA is filed under the name Tupaia belangeri chinensis (Chinese tree shrew). RNAcentral describes it as "Tupaia chinensis (Chinese tree shrew) Eukaryotic large subunit ribosomal RNA". It matches the Rfam family "Eukaryotic large subunit ribosomal RNA", at positions 2424 to 2780 of the family's 3401-position model. Lineage: Eukaryota; Metazoa; Chordata; Mammalia; Scandentia; Tupaiidae. The record is from Rfam by way of RNAcentral.